GCUAGGCACCGUGGCUCAUGCCUGUAACUGCAGCACUUUGGGAGGCCAAGGUGGGUGGAUCAGGAGGUCAAGAGAUCGAGACCAUCCUGGCUAACAUGGUGAAACCCCGUCUCCACUAAAAAUACAAAAANUUUUUGUAUUUUUAGUGGAGACGGGGUUUCACCAUGUUAGCCAGGAUGGUCUCGAUCUCUUGACCUCCUGAUCCACCCACCUUGGC
This 217-nucleotide non-coding RNA is filed under the name Chlorocebus sabaeus (green monkey). The record is from Rfam by way of RNAcentral. Lineage: Eukaryota; Metazoa; Chordata; Mammalia; Primates; Cercopithecidae.